AUAUAUAGCACAAACUAGUCUAC
This 23-nucleotide small nuclear RNA is filed under the name Arabidopsis thaliana (thale cress). Its description in RNAcentral is "snRNA_11299". The record is from RNAcentral. Lineage: Eukaryota; Viridiplantae; Streptophyta; Magnoliopsida; Brassicales; Brassicaceae.